This 880-nucleotide ribosomal RNA is filed under the name Salmonella enterica. RNAcentral's name for it is "partial 23S ribosomal RNA". It matches the Rfam family "Bacterial large subunit ribosomal RNA", at positions 737 to 1616 of the family's 2925-position model. Lineage: Bacteria; Pseudomonadati; Pseudomonadota; Gammaproteobacteria; Enterobacterales; Enterobacteriaceae. RNAcentral also lists the same sequence under 1 other name. The record is from RNAcentral.
UGGGCAGGUUGAAGGUUGGGUAACACUAACUGGAGGACCGAACCGACUAAUGUUGAAAAAUUAGCGGAUGACCUGUGGCUGGGGGUGAAAGGCCAAUCAAACCGGGAGAUAGCUGGUUCUCCCCGAAAGCUAUUUAGGUAGCGCCUCGUGAAUUCAUCUCCGGGGGUAGAGCACUGUUUCGGCUAGGGGGCCAUCCCGGCUUACCAACCCGAUGCAAACUGCGAAUACCGGAGAAUGUUAUCACGGGAGACACACGGCGGGUGCUAACGUCCGUCGUGAAGAGGGAAACAACCCAGACCGCCAGCUAAGGUCCCAAAGUCAUGGUUAAGUGGGAAACGAUGUGGGAAGGCCCAGACAGCCAGGAUGUUGGCUUAGAAGCAGCCAUCAUUUAAAGAAAGCGUAAUAGCUCACUGGUCGAGUCGGCCUGCGCGGAAGAUGUAACGGGGCUAAACCAUGCACCGAAGCUGCGGCAGCGACACUGUGUGUUGUUGGGUAGGGGAGCGUUCUGUAAGCCUGUGAAGGUGUGUCGUGAGGCAUGCUGGAGGUAUCAGAAGUGCGAAUGCUGACAUAAGUAACGAUAAAGCGGGUGAAAAGCCCGCUCGCCGGAAGACCAAGGGUUCCUGUCCAACGUUAAUCGGGGCAGGGUGAGUCGACCCCUAAGGCGAGGCCGAAAGGCGUAGUCGAUGGGAAACGGGUUAAUAUUCCCGUACUUGGUGUUACUGCGAAGGGGGGACGGAGAAGGCUAUGUUGGCCGGGCGACGGUUGUCCCGGUUUAAGCGUGUAGGUGUGUGUUCCAGGUAAAUCCGGUUCACUUUAACACUGAGGCGUGACGACGAGGCACUACGGUGCUGAAGCAACAAAUGCCCUGCUUCCAGGAAAA